ACUCCUACGGGAGGCAGCAGUGGGGAAUUUUGGACAAUGGGGGGAACCCUGAUCCAGCCAUGCCGCGUGCAGGAUGAAGGCCUUCGGGUUGUAAACUGCUUUUGUACGGAACGAAAAGGUCUUUUCUAAUAAAGAAGGCUGAUGACGGUACCGUAAGAAUAAGCACCGGCUAACUACGUGCCAGCAGCCGCGGUAAUACGUAGGGUGCGAGCGUUAAUCGGAAUUACUGGGCGUAAAGCGUGCGCAGGCGGUUAUGCAAGACAGAUGUGAAAUCCCCGGGCUCAACCUGGGAACUGCAUUAGUGACUGCAUAGCUAGAGUGCGGCAGAGGGGGAUGGAAUUCCGCGUGUAGCAGUGAAAUGCGUAGAUAUGCGGAGGAACACCGAUGGCGAAGGCAAUCCCCUGGGCCUGCACUGACGCUCAUGCACGAAAGCGUGGGGAGCAAACAGGAUUAGAUACCCUGGUAGUCCACGCCCUAAACGAUGUCAACUGGUUGUUGGGGAUUUACUUCCUCAGUAACGAAGCUAACGCGUGAAGUUGACCGCCUGGGGAGUACGGCCGCAAGGUUAAAACUCAAAGGAAUUGACGGGGACCCGCACAAGCGGUGGAUGAUGUGGUUUAAUUCGAUGCAACGCGAACAACCUUACCUACUCUUGACAUCCAUAUAACUUAGCAGAGAUGCUUUGGUGCCUUCGGGAACUCUGAUACAGGUGCUGCAU
RNAcentral lists this ribosomal RNA (718 nucleotides) under uncultured bacterium. RNAcentral describes it as "bacterial SSU rRNA". It matches the Rfam family "Bacterial small subunit ribosomal RNA", at positions 335 to 1046 of the family's 1533-position model. The record is from RNAcentral.